GGAUAAAUAAAGGCAACAGUAGUAUACCGCUGUUCAAACUCAUAAAUCCAUGGACAAAAAACAAAAUCGGGGUAACAAACUAGAACUGAGGGAAACGCACCAAACAUAAGAGGUGAACAAUGACACAACACUACAAUGUAACACACACAGAAACGGACCAAGCAUCAGACAAAAUCCCACGAGAAUAACAAAUAUAACAUCAAAACCAAAUACAAGAAUAUGGGAUAGACAAGUACCGUGACACGUCUUAUCGCAAUGUGAAUU
This 264-nucleotide long non-coding RNA is filed under the name Mytilus galloprovincialis (Mediterranean mussel). Lineage: Eukaryota; Metazoa; Mollusca; Bivalvia; Mytilida; Mytilidae. The record is from RNAcentral.